CCUGGUGAGAAGUUCUUUAACUGCUCCAUCUGCAACUAUUUUGAAUGGUUUUUAGAAAACACAAAGUCAUCUUCAUGUGUCACAUUCUUCUUAGGUGUAGAAAACACCAUCUCAGAGUCACUUGUCACCUUCU
Molecule: long non-coding RNA, 133 nt
Organism: Papaver somniferum (opium poppy)
Lineage: Eukaryota; Viridiplantae; Streptophyta; Magnoliopsida; Ranunculales; Papaveraceae
Exons: 3
Source: RefSeq, a predicted model, not a curated record